Molecule: ribosomal RNA, 406 nt
Filed under: uncultured bacterium
Lineage: Bacteria
Description: partial 16S ribosomal RNA
Rfam family: Bacterial small subunit ribosomal RNA
Source: RNAcentral
AUUGAACGCUGGCGGCAGGCUUAACACAUGCAAGUCGAACGAGUGGCGGACGGGUGAGUAAUGUCUGGGAAUCUGCCUGAUGGAGGGGGAUAACUACUGGAAACGGUAGCUAAUACCGCAUACCAUCAGAUGUACCCAUAUGGGAUUAGCUAGUAGGUGGGGUAACGGCUCACCUAGGCGACGAUCCCUAGCUGGUCUGAGAGGAUGAACAGCAACACGGGAACUGAGACACGGUCCAGACUCCUACGGGAGGAAGCAGUGGGGAAUAUUGCACAAUGGGCGCAAGCCUGAUGCAGCCAUGCCGCGUGUGUGAAGAAGGCCUUAGGGUUGUAAAGUACUUUCAGCGAGGAGGCGUUACUCGCAGAAGAAGCACCGGCUAACUCCGUGCCAGCAGCCGCGGUAAUAC